AGAUACGUCCUACGGGAAGCAGCAGUAGGGAAUUUUCGUCAAUGGGGGCAACCCUGAAACGAGCAAUGCCGCGUGAGCGAAGAAGGUCUUCGGAUUGUAAAGCUCUGUUGCCGGGGAAAAAGGAAGGAAAGAGGAAAUGCUUUUUCUUUGGAUAGUACCCGGCCAGAAGGUCACGGCUAACUACGUGCC
Molecule: ribosomal RNA, 189 nt
Filed under: uncultured bacterium
Lineage: Bacteria
Description: partial 16S ribosomal RNA
Rfam family: Bacterial small subunit ribosomal RNA
Source: RNAcentral